Molecule: ribosomal RNA, 541 nt
Filed under: Amolops mantzorum (Kangting sucker frog)
Lineage: Eukaryota; Metazoa; Chordata; Amphibia; Anura; Ranidae
Description: partial 16S ribosomal RNA
Rfam family: Bacterial large subunit ribosomal RNA
Source: RNAcentral
AAUAUAAGAGGUCCAGCCUGCCCAGUGACAUAGUUUAACGGCCGCGGUACCCUAACCGUGCGAAGGUAGCAUAAUCACUUGUUCUUUAAAUAAGGACUCGUAUCAACGGCAUCACGAGGGCUGUACUGUCUCCUUUCUCCAAUCAGUGAAACUGAUCUCCCCGUGAAGAAGCGGGGAUUGACCUAUAAGACGAGAAGACCCCAUGGAGCUUUAAACCCAACACACACCUCUACUCACUCAAAUCAGCAUAACCCAAGAGACUUGUGUGUUGGUUUUAGGUUGGGGGGACCGCGGAGUAAAAUCAAACCUCCAUGACAGACGGACUAACACCCUUAUCCAUGAACCACAAUUCUAAGAGCCAAUAAAUUGUUGUCUAAUGACCCAAUUACUUGAUCAACGAACCAAGUUACCCUGGGGAUAACAGCGCAAUCUACUUCAAGAGCCCCUAUCGACAAGUAGGUUUACGACCUCGAUGUUGGAUCAGGGUAUCCUAGUGGUGCAGCCGCUACUAAAGGUUCGUUUGUUCAACGAUUAAAACCCU